Molecule: ribosomal RNA, 332 nt
Filed under: uncultured bacterium
Lineage: Bacteria
Description: bacterial SSU rRNA
Rfam family: Bacterial small subunit ribosomal RNA
Source: RNAcentral
CAUGCAGGCGGUCGGACGCGUUUCCAGUGACAGCGGGUGGCUUACCUACCCGAGUAUUGGAAAGACGGUUUGACUUGAGGACUCGAGAGGGACACGGAAUUCCGGGUGGAGUGGUGAAAUGCGUAGAGAUCCGGAGGAACAUCGAAGGCGAAGGCAGUGUCCUGGCGAGUGACUGACGCUGAGGUGCGAAAGCUAGGGGAGCGAACGGGAUUAGAUACCCCGGUAGUCCUAGCCGUAAACGAUGACCACCAGGUGUGGGAGGUAUCGACCCCUUCUGUGCCGGAGUUAACACACUAAGUGGUCCGCCUGGGGAGUACGGUCGCAAGAUUAAA